RNAcentral lists this ribosomal RNA (471 nucleotides) under uncultured eukaryote. Its description in RNAcentral is "bacterial SSU rRNA". It matches the Rfam family "Eukaryotic small subunit ribosomal RNA", at positions 592 to 1013 of the family's 1831-position model. The record is from RNAcentral.
CAAUAGCGUAUAUUAAAGUUGUUGCAGUUAAAAGCUCGUAGCUGAAUCCGGGGAGAGGCCGGGGUUAGUUGCUGCGUGUAAGAGUUAGGUUCGGUGUCAAAACCUUCCCAGCUUCCAUAAGCGAUCGGCAUGUCACAACCCGCGCCACGACCCAAACAGUCGGUAGACCCGGGGUGCUCUUAACUGAGUGGUCCGUGGUGGCCGGCCAGUUUACUUUGAAAAAAUUAGAGUGCUCAGAGCAGGCCGGUAGAGCCUAGAUACUUCAGCAUGGAAUAAUGGAACAGGACUUCGGUCCUCUUCAGUUGGUCUUCGGGACGCGAGGUAAUGACCGAUAGGGACAGACGGGGCAUUCGUAUUGUGGGCUAGAGGUGAAAUUCUUGGACCCUCGCAAGACGGACAACCGCGAAAGCAUUUGCCAAGAAUGUUUUCAUUAGUCAAGAACGAAAGUCAGAGGUUCGAAGACGAUCAGAU